Anolis carolinensis (green anole) is the source of this 2524-nucleotide RNA transcript. RefSeq lists it as uncharacterized. The transcript is spliced from 9 exons. NCBI's taxonomy places the organism in Eukaryota, Metazoa, Chordata, Lepidosauria, Squamata, Anolidae. The record is from RefSeq and is a predicted model, not a curated record.
UCCAGUUAUACUGAAAAAAUCCUCAAAAGGAUUUGGAAGGUGGAAUAUUUUGAGGGGAGAGGCAGUUAGCAUUUGUGCUUUUCUUAAUGAGGUUUUCACAGGCCACUAGUCAGACACUGAACAGCAUAUUGGCAUAGCUGUCUAGUUUGAAACUACCAAUCCUAGUGGCUUCUCUCUAGUUAAAUUCAGCAGUACACCUAGAGUACUACUACAUACUGUACUACUUUAUGAAUAGAAUCAAGGGAGCUGGGCAGGGUAGAAGUAAGGACUCCAAAAAACUUGUGCAUACUGAUACCCUCAAAUAAUUUCAGAGCUUGUUUGCAAGGUACAUUCCGAAAGGCCGUUUCCUUCAUCUUGAGUGUGACUUGGUUCAAUGUCAUUGGGGCAGGUGUCCCUGGAAUUUGAACAUUGACCUCCCCUGGUUCAUAGCUAAGACCACUAUACUAUGUUCGUUGUACAACUACGGCAGCAAUAAGUUUUGCUUUAUGGUAAAUUUAUUAAAAGACAAAAACAUUAAAAGCUAUUUCUUGAGUAUGGGGUUGGAAAUGAGAUCAUAGAUCUGUAAGAGACCAUAAAGGUCAUCAAGUCCAACCCCUAGCAACAAUCAAAACCUGACAGAUGCUAUUCAGCCUCUGUUUAAAAGAAUCCACAGAAGGGGACCACUCAUACAGCACAUUGCACUGUCAGCUUCUCACACAUAGGGGAUUUCCUCUGCCUGCGCAGUCAGUUUUGGGAUAUUAUAUAAAGAAGAAAAGAAACCAUAUUCAUAGAAAACAAAUGGAAUGUACAAGUGGAGAGUUGGAUUUAAUACUCCAGUUCUGGGAAGAUGUAGCAGCAGUAACUGUGAGAAUGAACUGUUCCAACCAAAGCUCUCCCUGUAGUUUUUUCACUGGGAUUUUUGUCAGGGGUGUAAGAUGAGUUGGCACAUUUCUCCCUGCCCUGAGGAUGCCAAGCUGCAUCAAUAUGAGUAUAGUGCCUAGAUCGCAAGAAGUCAUAGUCCCCCCCCCCUUCUGCUUUGGUCAGACCUCACCUAGAAAACUCCAGUUCUCGCUACGAUUCAAGGAUACUGACAUGCUACAACAUGUCCCCAGAAAGCAACCAAAAUGAUAAAAGCCAAGCCCUGAGGGAGCUGGGUGUUUAGCCUGGAGAAAAUAAGGCUAAGAUUGUUAUUUGAAAAGAUGUCACAUUAAGGAGGGGGCAUGUUCUCUACUCUGAGCAAUCAUGGAUAUGGAGCUGUUCCCUUGCCCUAGUACGCUUAAGAUUAGUACAAAAUACUGAAUUUUGGAGCUGAACAAAAAGUGGAAAUAACUUUGGAUGUUAGCAAUGAUGUCAUAAUGCAGCAUGUAUCACAAUGUCUUGUCACCAUAGUCACAACUAUGGAACAGAUUGCUGUAUCUUGUUUAAAAAGAGCUGGCAUUUGAGAGCAAGAGACUUAAAAUGUCUGCAAGGUAAUACUGUUGUAAAACCUCUGCUUUAGAUAUGCAGCACCCUAGUAUGCUAAAGACUUCAACUCUGAUGGAUUUUGCUGCCGGUCCAGACUGGAUGGAGGGACUAAGACACAGAUUCAUGCAGAAUUGUACAGUGGAGCCUGGGACUCAGCCACCUUCCGAAACCAACUUUAAGGACACAUUCCACAUUCCUGCUGAUGGUCUUCCAGGGAAAAAAGGUCAAAUGGCUUCACAAAUAGCAGAUGACCGUCAGAAUGAGAGGAACUGUGUCAAGGGUGCCUUCGGCGUCUCCACCACCACAGGAUCCAGGAAACUCAAGAGGAGAAGCACUGCUUUCCAUCACAAGCCUUCAGAUUCUGGUGUUAGUUUUUGGGAAGAGGUGUCCAUUCAUUCCACUUGUAACGCGAAUGCUCCCAGUGACAGAUGGCAUCAAAGAGCUCGCUCUUCAGUCACAAACCUUAAAGAAGAAUUAGAAGAUGGAGAGGAAGGAAUCUUUGAAAGACCAGGAACAGAGGUGUCUCCAUCAAAAGGAGGAAGGCAUUAUGAUAUCGACAUGGAAACAACCGGUGACAUCCAGACGGCAAAUGAAAGUCUCCGCCAAGAUGGCGCAACCAACCUGCCACAAAGGCUUUCAGGGCCCUCGGAGCUUCCUAGAGGCUUGGGUUACUUUGCAGAGGCUCUGACGCUGGUGCCCAACCACUCCUUGAUGGAUGUUGAGCCUUCACAAUGUUUAGGGUCGCCACCAAACACACGCUCGGCCCUCUUGUCAAAGCCUCUUCCUGCAGAGCCCAAUGGAGACGUCGUCAUGCGUGAGGAAAGGAAGAUCAAGAAGUCGAAGGAGAUCCCAAUUUUAGACCGGGUUGGGGAAACCUUGCGGCAAAAGAAAUUACGUGCAACUCAGGCGUGAGCAAUCCUGAAACGGAUCACCCAUCUUCUUUGGAUUCUUUUCUACUUUCUGAUGGGACCUUGUGAACCUUUUACAAGAUCGAGAAAAAAAUCAGCGGAUACUGAACAAUUCGCUCGCAAAUAUAUGCAAAAGUGCACAGUUGAAUCCAGCACUGAAUCUGAAUCAGAUG